UACGGAGGAUGCAAGCGUCAUCCGGAUUCAUUGGGUUUAAAGGGUGCGUAGGCGGACUAUUAAGUCAGUGGUGAAAGCCUGCAGCUUAACUGCAGAACUGCCAUUGAUACUGAUAGUCUUGAGUUUGGUUAAGGUAGGCGGAAUGUGUAAUGUAGCGGUGAAAUGCUUAGAUAUUACACAGAACACCAAUUGCGUAGGCAGCUUACUGAGCCGACACUGACGCUGAGGCACGAAAGCGUGGGGAUCGAA
This 249-nucleotide ribosomal RNA is filed under the name uncultured prokaryote. Its description in RNAcentral is "partial 16S ribosomal RNA". It matches the Rfam family "Bacterial small subunit ribosomal RNA", at positions 524 to 772 of the family's 1533-position model. The record is from RNAcentral.